UCGAGACAGCGCGGGGCGGCGGAGGGAGGGCGAGUGGGCGGGAGUGCGCGUGCGCGCCCACACGAAGGCGGUGGCGGGAGGUCCCUUUGUGACGUCCCUGGAGGUCUGAGACUGGCGGGCGCGACUGGGAUGGGGGCCUGAGCUGAUGCUCUGCUUCUGUCACCUCCCAGCCCGCUGGGCACGGCCCGCCCCAGUGCUCCCCCAGCAGAGCGUGGACCCCUAAGGACGUCUCCCGGCGCGAAGGCACAGGAUGGGCCGGAUGCCGCUGUAGAGCCGGGGGCCCUCGCGACAGGCCCCGGGAAGCCCCGAUGCUGAUGCCAAGGCCUAGGAUGCCCCCCCAGGCAGCCUCCUUGGGCAGGACUGUGGGGGCACCUGUAUGUUUAAGGCCACAUCUUCCCCGAAGAUCCGACUGCAGGGCCCUGGAGUAAACUCGAAGGCGGAUCCUAGGAGCCCUGCCCCGUCCCUCCAGUGUUCUGGCUUUCCAGCAGUUCCCAGGAAAGAUCACGCACAGAUCAAGCCUUCACACCUGACAUCCCGUCUUUAUGAGCUACGUGAGUUUGAGCACCUUUGUGCGCCAUGCGUUUAACAUCUUCACCUGCAUGAUGAGGGAAUGAUGAGGGGGUGUAAAAUGAGAUACAAAGGACUGUCAAAUCACAUUAAACUGUGGCAUUUUAUGAAAACAUGUUAGCAUGCAAAAAAUGGAGAAAGACUAGAUAUCAUCUGCUCUUAAAUAAAACACUGAGGUGUUA
Equus caballus (horse) is the source of this 749-nucleotide long non-coding RNA. RefSeq lists it as uncharacterized. The record is from RefSeq and is a predicted model, not a curated record. Lineage: Eukaryota; Metazoa; Chordata; Mammalia; Perissodactyla; Equidae.